UACGUAGGGUGCGAGCGUUGUCCGGAAUUAUUGGGCGUAAAGAGCUCGUAGGCGGUUUGUCGCGUCUGCUGUGAAAACUCGGGGCUUAACUCCGGGCCUGCAGUGGGUACGGGCAGACUAGAGUGCGGUAGGGGAGACUGGAAUUCCUGGUGUAGCGGUGAAAUGCGCAGAUAUCAGGAGGGACACCGGUGGCGAAGGCGGGUCUCUGGGCCGUAACUGACGCUGAGGAGCGAAAGCGUGGGGAGCGAACAGG
Molecule: ribosomal RNA, 253 nt
Filed under: uncultured bacterium
Lineage: Bacteria
Description: partial 16S ribosomal RNA
Rfam family: Bacterial small subunit ribosomal RNA
Source: RNAcentral